UACGUAGGGUCCGAGCGUUGUCCGGAAUUACUGGGCGUAAAGAGCUCGUAGGUGGUUUGUCGCGUUGUUCGUGAAAACUCACAGCUCAACUGUGGGCGUGCGGGCGAUACGGGCAGACUAGAGUACUGCAGGGGAGACUGGAAUUCCUGGUGUAGCGGUGAAAUGCGCAGAUAUCAGGAGGAACACCGGUGGCGAAGGCGGGUCUCUGGGCCGUAACUGACGCUGGAGGAGCGGAAAGCAUGGGGAAGCGAACAGG
Molecule: ribosomal RNA, 256 nt
Filed under: uncultured bacterium
Lineage: Bacteria
Description: partial 16S ribosomal RNA
Rfam family: Bacterial small subunit ribosomal RNA
Source: RNAcentral